UAUAGGGCAAAUGACUAAAAGGUUGAUGGUUUGUAUUUGAGAUCUCAAGUUUCGAAACCUGCUUCAUGUUUUUAAGUGAGUUCAUUUAAGAAAAAAAUAUAUAAAACAGAUAAUCUAUUAUCUUUUUCUCUGAAAAAUAAAAUAAAUAUUUUCUUGUUACUGGACUAAAAUUAAAUUUUUUAUUUUUAUUUUUGUUCCAGAACUAACAUUCUCUUGUU
RNAcentral lists this long non-coding RNA (218 nucleotides) under Ananas comosus (pineapple). RNAcentral's name for it is "long non-coding RNA (ACOM_LNC029171)". The record is from RNAcentral. Lineage: Eukaryota; Viridiplantae; Streptophyta; Magnoliopsida; Poales; Bromeliaceae.